Molecule: ribosomal RNA, 513 nt
Filed under: uncultured Mesoplasma sp.
Lineage: Bacteria; Bacillati; Mycoplasmatota; Mollicutes; Entomoplasmatales; Entomoplasmataceae
Description: bacterial SSU rRNA
Rfam family: Bacterial small subunit ribosomal RNA
Source: RNAcentral
GAGUUUGAUCCUGGCUCAGGAUAAACGCUGGCGGCAUGCCUAAUACAUGCAAGUCGAACGGGAGUGCUUGCACUCCAGUGGCGAACGGGUGAGUAACACGUAUCUAAUCUACCUUUUAGUGGGGGAUAACCUUUGGAAACGAAGGAUAAUACCGCAUAAGUUCUUCAUUAUGACAUCAGAAGAAGAGGAAAGAUCCGUUUGGAUCGCUAAAAGAUGAGGAUGCGGCGUAUUAGUUAGUAGGCGGGGUAAAGGCCCACCUAGACGAUGAUACGUAGCCGAACUGAGAGGUUGAUCGGCCACAUUGGGACUGAGAUACGGCCCAGACUCCUACGGGAGGCAGCAGUAGGGAAUUUUUCACAAUGGACGAAAGUCUGAUGAAGCAAUGCCGCGUGAGUGAUGAAGGUCUUCGGAUUGUAAAGCUCUGUUGUAAGGGAAGAAUAAGCCGGGAAGGAAAUGUCUUGGUGAUGACGGUACCUUACCAGAAAGCCCCGGCUAACUAUGUGCCAGCCGCCG